GAUGAACGCUGGCGGCGUGCUUAACACAUGCAAGUCGAACGGAAAGGCUCCUGCUUGCAGGGGUACUCGAGUGGCGAACGGGUGAGUAACACGUGGGUGACCUGCCCUGCACUUCGGGAUAAGCCUGGGAAACUGGGUCUAAUACUGGAUAGGACCACAUUUUGGAUGGUGUGGUGGAAAGUUUUUCGGUGUGGGAUGAGCUCGCGGCCUAUCAGCUUGUUGGUGGGGUAAUGGCCUACCAAGGCGUCGACGGGUAGCCGGCCUGAGAGGGUGUACGGCCACAUUGGGACUGUGAUACGGGCCAGAGUCCUACGGGAGGGAGCAGUGGGGAAUAUUGCACAAUGGGCGCAAGCGUGAGGCAGCGACGCCGCGUGGGGGAUGACGGCCUUCGGGUUGUAAACUCCUUUCGCUAGGGACGAAGCGUUUUUGUGACGGUACCUGGAGAAGAAGCACCGGCUAACUACGUG
RNAcentral lists this ribosomal RNA (467 nucleotides) under uncultured bacterium. RNAcentral describes it as "partial 16S ribosomal RNA". It matches the Rfam family "Bacterial small subunit ribosomal RNA", at positions 28 to 507 of the family's 1533-position model. The record is from RNAcentral.